This 339-nucleotide ribosomal RNA is filed under the name uncultured Pseudomonadota bacterium. RNAcentral describes it as "bacterial SSU rRNA". It matches the Rfam family "Bacterial small subunit ribosomal RNA", at positions 29 to 351 of the family's 1533-position model. Lineage: Bacteria; Pseudomonadati; Pseudomonadota. The record is from RNAcentral.
AACAAACGCUGGCGGCGUGCCUAACACAUGCAAGUCGCACGAGAAAGUCCGCUUCGGUGGAUAAGUAAAGUGGCGCACGGGUGAGUAACGCGUGGAUAAUCUACCCUUAAGUUGGGAAUAACGUACCGAAAGGUGCGCUAAUACCGAAUAAUACUUCACAACUACUGUUGUGCAGUCAAAGAAGGCCUCUGUUUACAAGCUUUUGCUGAAGGAUGAGUCCGCGUACCAUUAGCUAGUUGGUAGGGUAAUGGCCUACCAAGGCAACGAUGGUUAGCUGGUCUGAGAGGAUGAUCAGCCACACUGGAACUGAGACACGGUCCAGACUCCUACGGGAGGCAG